RNAcentral lists this ribosomal RNA (497 nucleotides) under uncultured bacterium. Its description in RNAcentral is "partial 16S ribosomal RNA". It matches the Rfam family "Bacterial small subunit ribosomal RNA", at positions 28 to 507 of the family's 1533-position model. The record is from RNAcentral.
GAUGAACGCUGGCGGCGUGCCUAAUACAUGCAAGUCGAGCGAACGGACGAGAAGCUUGCUUCUCUGAUGUUAGCGGCGGACGGGUGAGUAACACGUGGAUAACCUACCUAUAAGACUGGGAUAAUUUCGGGAAACCGGAGCUAAUACCGGAUAAUAUUUUGAACCGCAUGGUUCAAAAGUGAAAGACGGUCUUGCUGUCACUUAUAGAUGGAUCCGCGCUGCAUUAGCUAGUUGGUAAGGUAACGGCUUACCAAGGCAACGAUGCAUAGCCGACCUGAGAGGGUGAUCGGCCACACUGGAACUGAGACACGGUCCAGACUCCUACGGGAGGCAGCAGUAGGGAAUCUUCCGCAAUGGGCGAAAGCCUGACGGAGCAACGCCGCGUGAGUGAUGAAGGUCUGUGGAUCGUAAAACUCUGUUAUUAGGGAAGAACAUAUGUGUAAGUAACUGUGCACAUCUUGACGGUACCUAAUCAGAAAGCCACGGCUAACUACGUG